UACGGGGGGAGCAAGCGUUGUUCGGAUUUACUGGGCGUAAAGGGCGCGUAGGCGGCGUGACAAGUCACUUGUGAAAUCUCCGGGCUUAACUCGGAACGGUCAAGUGAUACUGUCGUGCUAGAGUACAGAAGGGGCAAGCUGGAAUUCUCGGUGUAGCGGUGAAAUGCGUAGAUAUCGAGAGGAACACCUGCGGCGAAGGCGGGUUGCUGGGCUGAUACUGACGCUGAGGCGCGAAAGCCAGGGGAGCGAACGGG
Molecule: ribosomal RNA, 254 nt
Filed under: uncultured bacterium
Lineage: Bacteria
Description: partial 16S ribosomal RNA
Rfam family: Bacterial small subunit ribosomal RNA
Source: RNAcentral